CCGUCAAGUGCUUCUACAACGUCGUGAAACCUCAUUGUCGAUGGUGUCACAUCCAUUUCGAGCAUCUCAAUUCUAGGAGUUGUUUCACUUUCUUUGGAACAAUCUGAACUCUCGCAAUCGCAACCUCCGAUCGAAUCUCGUAACCCUAGCUUUUUCAACUCAAGAGCUACAAGUGUUGCAAUGGAUGCUGGAAACUUGUUGAAGCCAAUGCUUUGAAGGGGGGAACAUUGAUGUAUAGGAGCAACUACGUUGAAUGAAUAUAGAAAAUAUAUUGAGAAGGAUCCUGCACUUGAGCGUAGAUUUCAACAAGUAUUUUGCUGUCAACCAUCUGUUGAAGAUACAAUAUCCAUUCUUCGAGGGUUGCGCGAGCGCUAUGAAUUGCAUCAUGGAGUCAAAAUAUCUGACAGUGCACUUGUAUCAGCUGCAGUCCUUGCAGAUCGAUACAUCACAGAACGCUUCCUACCAGACAAAGCUAUUGAUCUUGUCGAUGAAGCUGCUGCAAAACUGAAGAUGGAGAUCACCUCUAAGCCUACAGAGUUGGAUGAGAUAGAUAGAGCAGUCUUGAAACUGGAGAUGGAAAAACUCUCUUUGAAAAAUGACACUGACAAGGCUUCUAAAGAAAGAUUAAGUAAGCUUGAAAAUGAUUUGAGUUUACUGAAACAGAAGCAGAAAGAAUUGGCAGAACAAUUGGACAGUGAAAAAGUCUUAAUACUGCUCCUUUUCAUUCUGUCAAGGCUGUGAUACUUGGCAUGGCUUGCGAAUUUUAAUAUGUAUUUCUCUUUAGUUUUCUAUCUCUAAUUUGUAUUUGAAUUUGGUAUUGGUUUAUUUUAGGAUCCUUAUCAUGGGCCUGGUCAAGCAAUGAGGCUUUCAUUCUCUGUACCCGAGGGAAUCAAAGUUCCAUCUAGUUUGGUAAAUAUAUUUAAGGAGCUUAAGCUAGACCUUGGAUGUUCAAUUCCAUCUCAGGGUAAUCUUGAAAAAUGGGCUGUGCAGGUAACUAUUCCUUACUAACUUAAUCCAGCAAUCAUGAUAUGUUUUUUUACCAAUAUCAACUUAGGCUUGAGUGAUAAAUACUUAUUGAACUGGGUUACUCAUCAUGAACCUAAAAUAGAGGCCUUCAGUGAUUGCAAAUAACUUAAAUUCACUGCUUAAGUGUCAGUUAAU
Molecule: long non-coding RNA, 1161 nt
Organism: Vicia villosa (hairy vetch)
Lineage: Eukaryota; Viridiplantae; Streptophyta; Magnoliopsida; Fabales; Fabaceae
Exons: 3
Source: RefSeq, a predicted model, not a curated record